GCCCGUAUGGCUCAGCGGGAGAGCGCCGCCUUCACACGGCGGAGGUCCCAGGUUCGACACCUGGUACGGGCA
RNAcentral lists this transfer RNA (72 nucleotides) under Spirilliplanes yamanashiensis. It matches the Rfam family "tRNA". Rfam says of the family: Transfer RNA (tRNA) molecules are approximately 80 nucleotides in length. Their secondary structure includes four short double-helical elements and three loops (D, anti-codon, and T loops). The record is from Rfam by way of RNAcentral. Lineage: Bacteria; Bacillati; Actinomycetota; Actinomycetes; Micromonosporales; Micromonosporaceae.